GGUGGGAUGUUGACAGCCAGCGUCCCACGGCACUCUUGCACCUCCACAGUGAGCAGCAGGGGUGUGUUGGACACCUCCUCCAUCUUCUUUUUGAUGAACUCUGUCUCUGUGGCUUUCUGGAAGUACUUCGACUUGGCUAUCUUGUCCACAAAGCGCAUGAUCUUGCUUGGCCUGUGGCCUCCCACAAAGCUACAUGAGCAGAGGAUGGAGACACAGGAGGCAGGAAUAUGAGCUGAUGUAAAGAGACAUUUGCUCACCCCUCGCCGCCGGGCAGAAUAGGUCUGUCACUGAGGAGUUCCUGGGGAUCCUCCUCAUCCGAUGAGCCAGCGCUUGACGACUCCUCAUCGCUGUCUGCCAGACAGUAUGUCCGUGGCCUGGGCCUGUCUCACACACACACACACAAGGUUGCAAAGUCAGGCCCCAAUGGCUUUGUGCAGAACCAUUAACAAUAAAAAUGAAUUCAUUUAAUGUAUCCCAACUGAUAUAAACACCAGAAAAUGAAUCUCCACUGACUCACACAAGAAAAGAAACUCAAGCAACAAACUAUAUUGUUUCAGUUACAUGCCUCAGUGGGCAUCUAUUCCCAAACUCACCAGUCGUUGGACAAAUCCACAGUGUUAAGCGCCCAGAGAGAGGUUUAGUAUAUAAAGAGAAGGGAGGAAGAGCCACAAGAAUAAAGGUACAAGCUGUGAAAAAAACGUGAAAACUCAUAUGGCUCUAAAUGCAAAUCUACUCUGUUAGAGCUGUUUUGUUUUAAUUUAAAAAAAACAUUCAAACAUCUUAUUUUGCAAGCUGCAAAGUUUUCAUAAACUGUAAUGUAAUUGAAAGCCUCACCAUUCUUUCCCGUGCUCCCCAAGUCCCUCGCCCUCUUUCCCCAGACGGGCCAGGUUCAUCUUGGUCUCCAGGGUCAUGAGGAAGGAGCCCGUGUAGGAGACCUCCAUAUCGAACCACAGACCUGAGAUGCAGAUAUACAGCGUUUUCAAAAUCAAAAUUAUAAUUGUUGUACAAUCAUGAAUAAACAAGGAUCUCCCUGCA
Molecule: long non-coding RNA, 1035 nt
Organism: Scophthalmus maximus (turbot)
Lineage: Eukaryota; Metazoa; Chordata; Actinopteri; Pleuronectiformes; Scophthalmidae
Exons: 2
Source: RefSeq, a predicted model, not a curated record